AGCGUGUACUAGCGGGCGAGUUGCUGCAAGGGCUACGCUGUCAUAAAAUGGAAAAAAAACAAACGUUGGCAAAACUGUCCGCCGAAAGAGAAGGUGAAACCGCUUCCGCAAACGACGCACAACAGUAGAGAAAGCUGAGCCGGGGAGUAAGGUGCAAAACUUGCUCGGGAGAGUAGGAAUUCGUGAUUCGUGUCAGCCGUAAGGGGCACAGUUGCGAGGCUGGAAGAAGCAUCUAUUCACUCCCAGUUCAUCGCAACUAAAGGAAAUCGCAAAAUAUCGUAAAAUAUCGUACUCGAACAGCACGUGUGUCGGCAGUUCUUAUCACCCGGACCACUCAGUUCUCUCGUAUUAAGUGUCGCUUUCCGGCGGGCACCCGGAUUGCAUGCCAUAUAAACACAGCUCUUGGGCGUAGAGGACAUCCACGCAAGAACCGGAUCGCGAGUCGAUUGAAUAGCCAGAGUAAAGCAAAAGUAACUGAGUAACGGAAAAGCCUGCGGAAGCA
This is a long non-coding RNA of Armigeres subalbatus, 502 nucleotides long. RefSeq lists it as uncharacterized. The record is from RefSeq and is a predicted model, not a curated record. The transcript has 3 exons. Lineage: Eukaryota; Metazoa; Arthropoda; Insecta; Diptera; Culicidae.